AGUGAACGCUGGCGGUAGGCCUAACACAUGCCAGUCGAACGGCAGCACAGUAAGAGCUUGCUCUUACGGGUGGCGAGUGGCGGACGGGUGAGGAAUACAUCGGAAUCUACUUUUUCGUGGGGGAUAACGUAGGGAAACUUACGCUAAUACCGCAUACGACCUACGGGUGAAAGCAGGGGAUCUUCGGACCUUGCGCGAUUGAAUGAGCCGAUGUCGGAUUAGCUAGUUGGCGGGGUAAAGGCCCACCAAGGCGACGAUCCGUAGCUGGUCUGAGAGGAUGAUCAGCCAGACUGGAACUGAGACACGGUCCAGACUCCUACGGGAGGCAGCAGUGGGGAAUAUUGGACAAUGGGCGCAAGCCUGAUCCAGCCAUACCGCGUGGGUGAAGAAGGCCUUCGGGUUGUAAAGCCCUUUUGUUGGGAAAGAAAAGCAGCAGGUUAAUACCCCGCUGUUCUGACGGUACCCAAAGAAUAAGCACCGGCUAACUUCGUG
This 492-nucleotide ribosomal RNA is filed under the name uncultured bacterium. RNAcentral describes it as "partial 16S ribosomal RNA". It matches the Rfam family "Bacterial small subunit ribosomal RNA", at positions 29 to 507 of the family's 1533-position model. The record is from RNAcentral.